UUAGGCUUAAAAAAAAAAUGUUGAAAAUUCGAUUAUAUCAUUUGUGUUCUAUAACUGAACUUGUUAUCAAUAAGAUAUGUACAGUUCCAUGUUACUUUCUACUCUAAGAUACAAUUUAUAUAUUUUUAAGUUAAUAAGAGCCUAAUCUGUGUGAAGGUUUAAUUGCAAAACACAAAAGUACAUUACUACUUUUCUACAAGAAGUUAAAAGCUUUCAGCCUUUAAUUCAUAUUUUAGGUGUGAUAUUAUGUUGUGUUAGCUAAUGUUCAUGUAAACUUGAACAACAAUUUAUGUAAACUUUGUAAAAUGAUCAGCUUCAGAACUAUAGUACUUGAGAUUUAUAAAGAGCCCUGCCUUACUUGAGAUAAGGCUCUGUCCCAUCUCACUACAUGUGAAAAUGGCUAUAAAAAAAAAGUAAGCCAGAUUUCAGUACAGUUAAAGUUGUGUCCAAAAGUAGGUUUUUGCCAAGAUUACUAGGAUCUCAAACAGGAAAUUAUGAUAUAUAACCCUGCCAGAAUUCAAGGUAGCUAUUAUAUAAGCUAAAUAUGUUUUUACCCUAGUUAGUUUUGUUUUGUAGUUUGCUUAUAGAUGGUUUAAGGAUUGCCUAUUAAUAUUCUAAAGAGGUAUUGCUUUAAGAACACAACCUGGGUCAACAUAAGAUAAAGAGUUAUCACCUACAGGAUAGAGAGAUAGACAUUAAAGCCCAGUGCUCUUAAUAUAAGGCUGUUAACUUAUUUGCUGGAUGUUUAAGAUCAAGUUUUUAAAAUUAGUUAAAUUAAAAGGGCCAAGAAAACCAAUAUUUGGCUCUUGCCCUCUGAGUCAGUCUGAAUCAGGGAAUAGGGGACUUCUCCAAAGGGCUCAGCAACUCUAGGCCACAUAACCUCCUGAGCAGGGAGAUUAAUGAGACCAGUGGAGGACAGAAAGCCAAAUGGUGCAUUUGCUGUAAAGAGGAGAGUCAUUAAAAAAGGGAGACAUCCCUGAUGCUUCUGAGGGAAGCCAUAUGGUCAAACAAGGCCUGGACCCAUCCUAGCGCAAAUGGCACUAGCAGAACUGAAAAGCUGCUAUGAAGUUCCCGAGGACUCCCAGGAUAACUCAGCUGACUGUAAACAAUAGGUAGAAACAAAAGUCAGUUUGACUUGCUUCAUCUUAAACACUUAGCAAAGACAGUCAAAGCCAAAGCACAGCUGUUCCUGGACAUCUUAAAUGAUAAUAAUAAUUAAAUGUAACUUCCAUAAAUAAAUAGACUGGAGGCUACAAGAGAGAUUCUUAGACAGAAAUGCCUGAUAACUGUCAAAGGAACUACUAGAAUAGUUUUAGUCUAAGGCUUUUAUUUCUAGACAACACAGGUAGACUUGAUGUUUGCUAAUAUGGUUAUCCAGCCCUAAGUAGCAGAAUUAAAGAUUUCUCUAUUAGACACAGAGGAAAAACAAAAGGCUCUUUUGGAAGCUCGCAAAAAUGUGCCAGGGGACGACGGGCGCCCCACCCAACUCACAAAUUUGAUUAACGAAGCUUUUCCUUUAACCCGGCCAAACUGGGACUAUGCGACUGAAGCAGACUCAUUUGCAUGCUUUGCAAUUGGUCCAGAACGAGGUCUGGAAGCCUCUAGCCGCAGCAUACAAAGAGGAACUUAAAACCCCCUUGCUGCCACAUCCCUUCAAGGUCGGAGAUACCGUCUGGGUACGCAGGCACCAGAGCAGGAACCUCGAACCGCGGUGGAAAGGACCCUACACUAUCCUGCUGACCACUCCUACUGCACUCAAAGUGGACGGCAUCGCUGCUUAGAUCCAUGCUUCCCACGUGAAGACUGCACAUCCACAGGAGUCCGCAGACACCUCUCCGGAUCCAGAAUGAAAGUUGCAACGUACCCAAAAUCCGCUAAAGAUAAGACUCACUCGCUGUUAAUUUUUCUUGCUUUGUGCUGUGUCUUCCCCAUAUCAGUUAACCCCAACCAAUCUGUGAGCCAGACAUGACAAGUAUUAUCGGGGACAAGAAAUAUAAUUUAAAAAAAAAAAAAAAAACAUCCGCAAAAUACCCCCUUUGGGCUUGAUGGCCUACCCUAGGGCCUGAAAACUAAGUCGCAGGCACAAAAAUGUGGGCAACAUAAAAGUUACUAUUGUAAGUCUUGGGGAUAUAAAACUACGGGGGAUGCAUAGUAGAAGCCAAGCUCAUCUUAAGAUUUAAUUCAAAUAAAAAAAAAAAAACAAAACAAAACAGGAUCCCCCACUUUCUGCCGACUCUUGCAGGAGCCUGAAAUGGUACGGGGCAGGGCCAUGUACCGCAUUUGCCUGCAACCCCUUAAACAUUACCUUUACUCAGGCAGGCAAAGCAUCAAAAGAUUGGAUAAAAAAAAAAAACAAUGGGGCCUGAGAGUAUAUCAUAAAACUGCCUAUGACCCUGGGGUCCUAUUCAAAAUUAGAUUAAUAGUAAAUACCAACCCCCAACCAGUAUGCUGAGCCGUCAGCUGAAAUAAUGCUGGAAUCCGAGCAGAUGGGUCAAUGGAUAUAAGAUUAUAUCCAUGAUAUAAAAAAAGGGGGGAAUGAAGGACCCCAAGGCCCCAGGCCCAACAUUAGGAAAACUAACCCCUGUGCCCUGAAGCUGCAAGAUGUUCCCUUACCCAACCCCCAUGUCAAAACCCCACCAGCUGCACGUAGCACUUCAAGUCUCGCACAAUGUUACCACAAGAUGUUCCAUAUAGAUAACCCCGGAAGGGCCAAACUUGAGCAAACAGGGUAAAAACAGGAACUAAAAGGACAGGAUGCAAUUUUAUGGUUUUUCUGAGAACUAAAGUGGGAAAACAAGUUUACCCCCCUAGGUGACUCAACUGCUGAAUUCAGAGGGACCAAUAGGAAGGCUGUUGCUGUGCUAAGCUAAGACCUAACCCACCUGUUCCCUAUAAAAGAUCUAUACCCCAAAGCCCGGUGUGCCAGUUCACCGAAGCUCCGGCUGAGGUUUUGCUGUGCACCCGCAGGCGCCUGUGUGAGAAUAAACGCCUCCUGCUUUUUGCA
Molecule: long non-coding RNA, 3004 nt
Organism: Marmota monax (woodchuck)
Lineage: Eukaryota; Metazoa; Chordata; Mammalia; Rodentia; Sciuridae
Exons: 2
Source: RefSeq, a predicted model, not a curated record